CUCUAACUAAAUGCACUUCUUACUUUGAAUAAUGAAAAUGUAAAAAACUAAUCGUGAGAAGUAAUGACUUUUUAAACUCCAAACAUAACAUAAAAUGAAGAAAAUCAAUAAAAUUUACAUUUUCACGCAUUUUACAACAGGACUAUUAGGUUAGCUCAUACAUACAAUCGUCAACAGAUAUCUCCUCCCACCACCCAAAAAAUGUGAACGAUUCCAACAAUAAAAAAGUAUCAAAUAAAUAUCAAAUGUUAAAAUAGAAAAAUAAAAAGACACAACGGAAA
This 281-nucleotide long non-coding RNA is filed under the name Mytilus galloprovincialis (Mediterranean mussel). The record is from RNAcentral. Lineage: Eukaryota; Metazoa; Mollusca; Bivalvia; Mytilida; Mytilidae.